Cimex lectularius (bed bug) is the source of this 511-nucleotide long non-coding RNA. RefSeq lists it as uncharacterized. The record is from RefSeq and is a predicted model, not a curated record. The transcript is spliced from 2 exons. NCBI's taxonomy places the organism in Eukaryota, Metazoa, Arthropoda, Insecta, Hemiptera, Cimicidae.
UCUUAGCCAACCUCAUUCCUGGGUAGUCAACCGGACAGGACUGUUCAUCGUUUGGGUUUUUACGUUUUGACUUACUGUUUCGACUUGUUAAUCUAGAUUUUCGCACAAAAAAUUUCUUCUUCACAAAGGAAAACGUGCGUUUAAUUUUUUUUUAAUAUAAACAAAGAUGUCUUUCGCCGUCAAAGGAGACGCAGGUGUGACCAAUGUUGGAGGUGGGUUUGUCCAGACUCUCGUCGACAUCAACGAGAGUAAACCGUGCGUCAGCAUAAUCCAUGCUCUUCCGUUCUUCGUCAUGACGUUCCUUUUCAUUUGCAUGGGUGCCCUUUUCGGGCUUUACAGCUUCAAGACAAUCGUAUUCACCUUCUUUGUGGCAUAUAUCUCAAUGGCAGUUGUACAAAAGUUCAGAAAAGUGACGUGAAAAUAUGACAUUGACUUUAAGUUUAUUUUAAGUGAAAUAUUGUUAAGUAUAUAAGUUAAGUAAAAUAAAUUAUUGUUUAUACAUUUAACUGCA